UGCCAGCCGCCGCGGUAAUACGUAGGGUGCAAGCGUUAAUCGGAAUUACUGGGCGUAAAGCGUGCGCAGGCGGUUCGCUAAGACAGAUGCGAAAUCCCCGGGCUUAACCUGGGAACUGCAUUUGUGGCUGGCGGGCUAGAGUAUGGCAGAGGGGGUAGAAUUCCACGUGUAGCAGUGAAAUGCGUAGAUAUGUGGAGGAAUACCGAUGGCGAAGGCAGCCCCCUGGGAUAAUACUGACGCUCAGACACGAAAGCGUGGGGAGCAAACAGGAUUAGAUA
Molecule: ribosomal RNA, 278 nt
Filed under: uncultured bacterium
Lineage: Bacteria
Description: partial 16S ribosomal RNA
Rfam family: Bacterial small subunit ribosomal RNA
Source: RNAcentral